Molecule: ribosomal RNA, 374 nt
Filed under: uncultured bacterium
Lineage: Bacteria
Description: bacterial SSU rRNA
Rfam family: Bacterial small subunit ribosomal RNA
Source: RNAcentral
UAAGUCCCGCAACGRGCGCAACCMUUAUCMUUAGUUGCUACGCAAGGGCAHUCUAAGGAGACUGCCGGUGACAAACCGGAGGAAGGWGGGGAUGACGUCAAGUCCUCAUGGCCCUUAUGCGCAGGGCUUCACACGUCAUACAAUGGUCGGUACAGAGGGUMGCCAACCCGCGAGGGGGAGCUAAUCCCAUAAAGCCAGUCGUAGUCCGGAUCGCAGUCUGCAACUCGACUGCGUGAAGUCGGAAUCGCUAGUAAUCGCGGAUCAGAAUGUCGCGGUGAAUACGUUCCCGGGUCUUGUACACACCGCCCGUCACACCAUGGGAGCGGGUUCUGCCAGAAGUAGUUAGCCUAACCGCAAGGAGGGCGAUUACCACG